This 948-nucleotide long non-coding RNA is filed under the name Marmota monax (woodchuck). The stretch from base 152 to 220 matches the Rfam family "tRNA". The record is from RNAcentral. Lineage: Eukaryota; Metazoa; Chordata; Mammalia; Rodentia; Sciuridae.
GAAAUUAGAAAAUACUUUGAAUUAAAUAAAAAUGAAAACAUAGUCCACUUAUGUGGAUUCCAUUCAAGGCAAGCCAGCUUUACUCUUCAGGUCUCUUCAUCACUUUGGAAUCAUUGCAUUAGAAGCCAUUUCAAGAAAGUUUUGUGGGGCUGGGGAUGUGGCUCAAGCGGUAGGGCACUCGCCUGGCAUGCGUGUGGCCCGGGUUCGAUCCUCAGCACCACAUACAAAGAUGUUGUGUCCGCCGAAAACUAAAAAAUAAAUAUUAAAAAAAAAAAAAGUUUUGUGUGAUUUGAUUGUACUAGAUAUUUUUAAAAUUAUAGAGAAUAUUAUUAUUCCUUGUCUGGAAAAUAUAGUCACUUCUCAGAGAAAAAAAGAGGGCAUUAAAAUAAAUCUUUAUAUACAGACAUUCUAAUAAGGAAUGCUUGACUUUCAUUACACACAUUUCAUUGUAGUAGCUGUAACCAUGCUAUAGAAAACAGAACAUGUCCUUUUUAUGCAAGUGACAUUUUCAUUUAAUGUACCAAAUUGUUAAUUUGAUUUUUAUAAUAUAAGUUGAACACAGAUCCUUUCUAAAAUGGCAUUAUCUAAUCUUUACUUAAAUAAUGUCACUUAUAAAUAGAAGAGACUGUACUUAAGUCAAUGUAUACAGCAGAUUUAAAUUGACUAUUAUGUUAAAGUUUGAAAGAAUGAAACAGGUUCCAGUCAUGAGAAGAUGCUUGAAAAACAAUCAAAGUACCCAGUGCAGUGGCUAUAGUCUUAUUUCAUCAUUUGAUUAAUCUUAAGUCAUUUUGGAAGAAUGAAUACUUCAGUUUUACACUGCUUGCACUUUAUUUUGCAUAGAUAUCUCAUUAACUCUUAUUUGAGGGGCAACUCUUCUGAAUAUAGCUUUCAUUUUGAGCAAAAUUUGUCAUGGCAAUAAAUAAAUUAUGCAUUCAAGAAAAACCAAAA